Molecule: long non-coding RNA, 410 nt
Filed under: Carica papaya (papaya)
Lineage: Eukaryota; Viridiplantae; Streptophyta; Magnoliopsida; Brassicales; Caricaceae
Description: long non-coding RNA (CPAP_LNC013994)
Source: RNAcentral
UAAUAAUAAUUGGGGGUGUUACAACUCUCCCCCCCUUAAAGAAAUUUGGUCUCUCAAAUUUGCCUCUUACUCUUGAUCGAACAAAUGGGGGUACUGGGCUCUAAAGUCUGAUUCUAGUUCCCAUGUAGCCUCCCUUGGUGUGUGGUUCUGCCAUACGACCUUUACAAAAGAUAUUUUUCAGUUGCGGAGCAACUUACUCUUUCGAUUCGUAAUGCACUGGUACUUCCUCGUAUGAUAAGUCUUCCUAGAGUGGGAGGAGUUCAUGGGCCAAGACAUGAGAGGGGUCUGGGUUGUACUUACUUAGCAUGGAUACAUGGAACACAUUGUGGACCUUGAAAAGCUCUGGAGGUAGUGCUAGUCUGUAGGCGGCAGUACCAAUCCUGUCUAAGAUUUUGAAUGGUCCAAUGAAU